Molecule: ribosomal RNA, 253 nt
Filed under: uncultured bacterium
Lineage: Bacteria
Description: partial 16S ribosomal RNA
Rfam family: Bacterial small subunit ribosomal RNA
Source: RNAcentral
UACGUAGGGUGCGAGCGUUGUCCGGAUUUAUUGGGUUUAAAGGGUACGUAGGCGGGGAAAUAAGUCAGUGGUGAAAGACUUUGGCUUAACUAAGGCAAUGCCAUUGAUACUGUUUUUCUUGAAUUUCGUAGAGGCUCUUGGAAUUUGUGGUGUAGCGGUGAAAUGCAUAGAUACCACAAGGAACACCGACAGUGAAGACAGAGAGCUUGGCGAAUAUUGACGCUGAGGUACGAAAGCGUGGGUAUCAAACAGG